CGGGACACGUGGUAUCCUGUCUGAAUAUGGGGGGACCAUCCUCCAAGGCUAAAUACUCCUGACUGACCGAUAGUGAACCAGUACCGUGAGGGAAAGGCGAAAAGAACCCCGGCGAGGGGAGUGAAAAAGAACCUGAAACCGUGUACGUACAAGCAGUGGGAGCACGCUUAGGCGUGUGACUGCGUACCUUUUGUAUAAUGGGUCAGCGACUUAUAUUCUGUAGCAAGGUUAACCGAAUAGGGGAGCCGAAGGGAAACCGAGUCUUAACUGGGCGUUAAGUUGCAGGGUAUAGACCCGAAACCCGGUGAUCUAGCCAUGGGCAGGUUGAAGGUUGGGUAACACUAACUGGAGGACCGAACCGACUAAUGUUGAAAAAUUAGCGGAUGACUUGUGGCUGGGGGUGAAAGGCCAAUCAAACCGGGAGAUAGCUGGUUCUCCCCGAAAGCUAUUUAGGUAGCGCCUCGUGAAUUCAUCUCCGGGGGUAGAGCACUGUUUCGGCAAGGGGGUCAUCCCGACUUACCAACCCGAUGCAAACUGCGAAUACCGGAGAAUGUUAUCACGGGAGACACACGGCGGGUGCUAACGUCCGUCGUGAAGAGGGAAACAACCCAGACCGCCAGCUAAGGUCCCAAAGUCAUGGUUAAGUGGGAAACGAUGUGGGAAGGCCCAGACAGCCAGGAUGUUGGCUUAGAAGCAGCCAUCAUUUAAAGAAAGCGUAAUAGCUCACUGGUCGAGUCGGCCUGCGCGGAAGAUGUAACGGGGCUAAACCAUGCACCGAAGCUGCGGCAGCGACGCUGAUGCGUUGUUGGGUAGGGGAGCGUUCUGUAAGCCUGUGAAGGUGUGCUGUGAGGCAUGCUGGAGGUAUCAGAAGUGCGAAUGCUGACAUAAGUAACGAUAAAGCGGGUGAAAAGCCCGCUCGCCGGAAGACCAAGGGUUCCUGUCCAACGUUAAUCGGGGCAGGGUGAGUCGACCCCUAAGGCGAGGCCGAAAGGCGUAGUCGAUGGGAAACAGGUUAAUAUUCCUGUACUUGGUGUUACUGCGAAGGGGGGACGGAGAAGGCUAUGUUGGCCGGGCGACGGUUGUCCCGGUUUAAGCGUGUAGGCUGGUUUUCCAGGCAAAUCCGGAAAAUCAAGGCUGAGGCGUGAUGACGAGGCACUACGGUGCUGAAGCAACAAAUGCCCUGCUUCCAGGAAAAGCCUCUAAGCAUCAGGUAACAUCAAAUCGUACCCCAAACCGACACAGGUGGUCAGGUAGAGAAUACCAAGGCGCUUGAGAGAACUCGGGUGAAGGAACUAGGCAAAAUGGUGCCGUAACUUCGGGAGAAGGCACGCUGAUAUGUAGGUGAAGCGACUUGCUCGUGGAGCUGAAAUCAGU
This 1374-nucleotide ribosomal RNA is filed under the name Escherichia coli. RNAcentral's name for it is "partial 23S ribosomal RNA". It matches the Rfam family "Bacterial large subunit ribosomal RNA", at positions 418 to 1792 of the family's 2925-position model. The record is from RNAcentral. Lineage: Bacteria; Pseudomonadati; Pseudomonadota; Gammaproteobacteria; Enterobacterales; Enterobacteriaceae.